This is a long non-coding RNA of Ziziphus jujuba (common jujube), 1316 nucleotides long. RefSeq lists it as uncharacterized. The transcript is spliced from 3 exons. Lineage: Eukaryota; Viridiplantae; Streptophyta; Magnoliopsida; Rosales; Rhamnaceae. The record is from RefSeq and is a predicted model, not a curated record.
ACCACCAUUUCUUUUUCUUUUUCUUUUUCUUUUUUUUCUUUUUUCCCUUCUUCUUCCCCGAAACACACACGACACACACAGUUAUUUUUCUUCCCUCCGGCCGUCCCUCUCUCUCUCCCGUGUUUUUGAAUUCCGGCCACCCAUAGCCCUCACGCGCCAGCCACCAAGGAAGCCCGCCACCUCGCGAGCUUGGCCGCCAAGUUUCACGACCAGCCGCCGCCGGACGCGCGCCGAUCGGGCCGGAGAAGCCGCCGGCCGGCCAAGUUUCUCUCUCCUCUUUUCUUGUGUUUUCCGGCCAGCCCACUCCCAAUUGAGCCUCCUAUCCCCCUAUUUUGGGUCCUCUGAAUCCAAAAAUGGCCUCCAAUCCCAGAAAUUCGAAGCGGUUUGCGAGAUAUGGGGAAGUGAACACCGGCCGAACCUUUCCGACCAAAUUCCGGCCACCUCCGGCGGAAUUGGGGUCGACGGAGACCGGAUUGGUGAUCCUCGUUCCACGAGCUUCGAUUCGGAGCACCGGUGAGUCGUAGAAUUGAUCCCGUGGUGGAUCAUGGGUUAAUUGCGUGCUCCAGGUCCAGGUUGGAGACGUUGAUUGUCCGGGGCGAGCCCAACGUCUCAGUUCGUUGCCGAAGGUUCAAGAAGUUUUUCUUCCCUUUUUCCUCUCUAUCCUGUAUUGCUUCUUUAUCUGUCGUUUUAUAAAUUCCUCAUGUAUCUGUAUAAUGCUCUGUAUACUGUAUUGGACGUGUGGUUGUUAUUUAUGCACUGGGUUGCUGCUGUUGUUUUAUUUUUGAAGUGCUGCAAUUUGUGGAACAACUUGUAGUUUGUGGGAGGAAUAAGGGGAUGUUUUUAGAAGUGUGUUUUCAGUGCAGGUAAAUUUGUGGUAAGUAAAUCCCUUAGGGGAGGCUCUGUCGGAUUUUCCGUUGGAGGGUCCGGUAGGGUUUCCCUGAGAUCAGGGCUGUCUAGAGUUCCGGGGAAGGAAUUCUGGACGGGUCCUGACACCCAUUAUGUUGUACAUCUCUAUCAAACAACCAUGGUUUUCCUAACAGCAAGUGACAAGCAUCCAUCUUAAUCACAUCACAAUCUAGGGUGUCCACGUAGUUGUUUCCAAUAGACAAAGUCAAAUUGCACAUUUCUUGAACCUUAAUGUCUGAAUCUUUCUUGGCCCAUCCAAUUUUGUAUGGCUCUGGAUGUGGUUUUGCUUUAAUUGGAUUUUGAAGACCAUGUAUGUACCUAGCUACUUGCUGCCUCUAUGUUUCCUGUAAAUUAUUAUGUGAGCUAAGCCGAAAGAGCUCUAUUGUAUAUUCAUUCAUUGUUCUAGUGCC